Pseudopipra pipra is the source of this 541-nucleotide long non-coding RNA. RefSeq lists it as uncharacterized. Lineage: Eukaryota; Metazoa; Chordata; Aves; Passeriformes; Pipridae. The record is from RefSeq and is a predicted model, not a curated record. The transcript has 3 exons.
GUUCUGGACUGAACACACGGCCAAGGAAAAGCCUUGAGAGGUGCUGUAUAUAAUAAGAAAGCACAAAGUCAUAAGACCUGGGUGAGAAAAUGAUUUAAGAAGAAAAGGAUGUCACAAAAUCUAUAGCGUGCAGAUGAAGAACCCGAAGCACAAGAGCUGGAGUUUGAAGACGUUCAAUGGUGACAGCUCGUGGUGUUCUGUUGAGUCUGGGGACUGUUGGGACAUCCUGGCUUGGCUGUCACCCACCGCCCAUGUCCUGCCAUGCCAACAACCUGCUGAACGUAGCACGGCUGUGUAUCGAGGAGCUGCCCAGGUCUUACAUCUUAUUUGACAAGGAUAAAAAAAAAAACAAACCAGCAGGCUGGCAAGGAGGCAGGAGAGAGCUGUUCACCGACUGGCAGAGGGGGUGGCAGAACUUCAGGGUCCCGGAGGGGCUGUGCUGGGGCAGCUGCUUGGUUUACAAGAAGAAAAGCCCCGAGCGCAGCACCGGGCCGAGCCGAGGGCUUAUGUAAGAGCUGGCAGCGGGGCCGGCGGUGCGGAA